Molecule: ribosomal RNA, 415 nt
Filed under: uncultured bacterium
Lineage: Bacteria
Description: bacterial SSU rRNA
Rfam family: Bacterial small subunit ribosomal RNA
Source: RNAcentral
AACGAACGCUGGCGGCAUGCCUAACACAUGCAAGUCGAACGCCUGUAGCAAUACAGGAGUGGCGCACGGGUGAGUAACGCGUGGGAACCUGCCCUGGAGUGGGGGAUAACCGAGAGAAAUUUCGGCUAAUACCGCAUACGUCCUGAGGGAGAAAGAUUUAUCGCUCUAGGAGGGGCCCGCGUCGGAUUAGCUAGUUGGUGGGGUAACGGCCUACCAAGGCAACGAUCCGUAGCNGGUCUGAGAGGAUGAUCAGCCACACUGGGACUGAGACACGGCCCAGACUCCUACGGGAGGCAGCAGUGGGGAAUAUUGGACAAUGGGGGAAACCCUGAUCCAGCAAUGCCGCGUGAGUGAUGAAGGCCUUAGGGUUGUAAAGCUCUUUCGGCGGGGACGAUGAUGACGGUACCCGCAGAAG